This 342-nucleotide ribosomal RNA is filed under the name Epiperipatus sp. 6 CSC-2019. Its description in RNAcentral is "partial small subunit ribosomal RNA". Lineage: Eukaryota; Metazoa; Onychophora; Udeonychophora; Euonychophora; Peripatidae. The record is from RNAcentral.
CCCUGUUAUUYUAUUAUAAUAUAAUAUUUCAAAAAAAAAUAAAAUAAUAAAUUUGACGGUAUUAACUUUUACAAAGGAAUUUGUUUCUAAAUCGAAAACACACGAUAAACCUUACUUAAUUUAUAUUUGUAUACCACCGUAUACAGUAAUUAUUUAAAACAAAUUUCAUAAAAAAAUAAUUUUCUAAGAUCAGGUCAAGGUGCAAUAUUAUUAAGAUGAAAUGAAUUACAUUUUAAAAUUAAAACGUAUAAAAAUUGAAAUAUUUUUAAAAACAGAAUUUGUUAGUAAAAUUUAAUCAUAAUGUUUUUUUGAAAACUAAUAUUAAUAUGUACAUAUCGCCCG